UACGUAGGUGGCAAGCGUUGUCCGGAAUUACUGGGUGUAAAGGGCGUGUAGGCGGUUAUGCAAGUCAGGUGUGAAAGCCCAUGGCUCAACUGUGGGAUUGCAUCUGAAACUGUGUAUCUUGAGUGCUGGAGAGGGAAGCGGAAUUCCUAGUGUAGCGGUGAAAUGCGUAGAUAUUAGGAGGAACACCAGUGGCGAAGGCGGCUUUCUGGACAGUAACUGGCGCUGAGGCGCGAAAGCGUGGGGAG
RNAcentral lists this ribosomal RNA (245 nucleotides) under uncultured bacterium. RNAcentral describes it as "partial 16S ribosomal RNA". It matches the Rfam family "Bacterial small subunit ribosomal RNA", at positions 524 to 768 of the family's 1533-position model. The record is from RNAcentral.